GACGAACCGAGCGAACGUUAUUCGGAAUUACUGGGCGUAAAGCGUGCGCAGGCGGUGAUGUAAGACAGUUGUGAAAUCCCCGGGCUCAACCUGGGAACUGCAUCUGUGACUGCAUCGCUGGAGUGCGGCAGAGGGGGAUGGAAUUCCGCGUGUAGCAGUGAAAUGCGUAGAUAUGCGGAGGAACACCGAUGGCGAAGGCAAUCCCCUGGGCCUGCACUGACGCUCAUGCACGAAAGCGUGGGGAGCAAACAGG
This 253-nucleotide ribosomal RNA is filed under the name uncultured bacterium. RNAcentral's name for it is "partial 16S ribosomal RNA". It matches the Rfam family "Bacterial small subunit ribosomal RNA", at positions 524 to 776 of the family's 1533-position model. The record is from RNAcentral.